Non-coding RNA from Petromyzon marinus (sea lamprey), 2481 nucleotides. Lineage: Eukaryota; Metazoa; Chordata; Hyperoartia; Petromyzontiformes; Petromyzontidae. The record is from RefSeq and is a predicted model, not a curated record.
GCCGUGCGUUGUCGAGGAGCCCCAGGCCGCUGCAGCGAGCUCCCCGUGUUUUGGGCUUCGUGCGUCUGAGUUGUAUCAACUCGCCGAGGGCAGCUCGCCGCACCACGCGCCAGGUGGAAGCCCAAAGGAACGACCAUUCUGAAAUAAGUCUCUUGACUUACAGGCUGUGGAGUAUGGCAUAUUGCCAUGGACUAGCAGACACCGGUUUUAUCCCUGUGCCCUGGAAACAGUAGUUUCUGGUUAGGGAAAUAGGGACCUGUCUGUACGUAUGUACGUACGUGUGUGUGUGCGUGUGCUGCGUCUUUGUGUACAUUGCGAGCUGUGCGUGCGGUGGUUGUGUUUUCGUAGGCUGCGUAAGGGUGGGCAAGCGACGUUAGUGAGCACCCAUUUAGACGUUGCCAGCACCAUUCACGCCCGGCCGCCUUUGCCUCCACGGUGUUGAAGUUUUACACGCCCGCCGCUUUAAGUACUCGGUUAAGGCUGAAGUCGAUUUAGCAGAGGCCCAGGGUGAGUCCAAGACGCCGCUUGCCCACAGAUGUCACCCGUGGCUGGGGAAUGAGCCCAGCUCCUGGGAAAGCAGUGCGAAUUACAAAACCGCUCUGGCGUAAUUCUCUCCCAUGAACUGGGGAAUCUUUUGUCUUGGCGAUCGCUGUCGGCCAUUGCAUCCCCUACUAUGCAGUUCAAGACUUAAACAGGGAAUAUAUUGUGUGUGUGACCGUUUGUCUUUAUAGUCUUUGUGCAAGUUCUACUGCAACAAAACCACACACACACACACAAAGCGGAUUGUGUCAAUAUGUGCAGUAUGUACAUAGUAAUUGACACCGUUUGUCAGUCCACUGCUGGAUGAAAGUACGCAAGACGUAUGUAUAAUAUGAGAUACCCUGAUUAUUGUGGCCGCAUACGUACGCACGCACACACGUGCCCCGACACGCUGGAUUCGUUUGGCACUCGAUUGAGAGGCCAGUCGACACGUGGCGUAUACGCGCUGCGAACGAACCGUGCGAUUUACGCACGUGUAUAGAACUCUACGGUCAACCGAAUUUAAUGCUUAACUUUUUAAUAUACAUGCAUAAACGUGUGUGUAUAUAUAAAAACGCAUUAACAAAUCGUAUUGAAAUAUUUUCAAGGAUUUAUUUAUUUGAAAAACUAUAAAUAAAAAAAAACCCGCCCUCGAACAGAUGCUGCUGCUGCUGCUGCUGCUGCGUGGCACCGUAGACGCCAAGCCCCGGAGCGGGGAGGUCGCUAUCGGAUAGCGCUUUGUCGUCUCUCUCCGCUGUUCGGGGAGUGUGGCGGUGACGGUGGUGGUGGUGGUGGCGGUGACGGUGGCGGUGGUGGGUUCACACGCUCGCACACGCGGCUCGCCUACUGGACACCUGUGAACAAAGAGCGCUUCAUAGCUUAUCGGAUUCCUCCAGUUGAAAUCAACUUUCCGAUUCCCGAUUCGCCCUGCUUCGGGGGGUAGCGCCGUAGCACGGCGCGAGGGCUCCGCUCGCCGUUUGCAAAAGUUCUAAUCCUGGUACGAAGGUCGGCUCGCCAUCCUACCUUAUCAUCAUGAUCAUCGAACACGUUGGCCUUAGCGCAUCAACUACGCGCUCUGAAGCAAGGGCCAUUGCCCGAAAUGUCGCAGAUUAUACAUUACGCCCUUUAAGGCCACACAGUGUUGUUGUUGUUGUUGACACGGAAUGCGUCCAUGGGUUUUUGUUAUUUGUGCACCACUGCCGACUCAGCAUCAGCAUCACCACCACCAAGUAAUUUGUUUACUCAUCCUUACAGGAUUGAUAGCAUUGUGCGUGAGUGUGAAGUUAACACUUGGUGGGCUGGUGAGACUGGACACCCCUUUCCCGUGGCAAUGUGGGGAUCUCCAAUUUUUUCCAUGACAGUGCGUAUAAGUUUGACGCGUUCAAAACAUUCGAACCGCUUUCGAUCGUUUCGGCCGAUUGACACAUCCCUCCGUACGCCAUUCGGUUGCAAUGAAACGCAAGUGCCGCGAGCGACUCCUCCGAGGCGAGUCUUGACGUCGCGUGAAUGUGGGGCGACCCAAGGGCUUCGUAGCGUACAAGUGAAGUUGUUGGGUUAACCUCGUGCAUUUUCACGUCCCGCUGUGGGCUGGCCAGCUGGCGGCCGCUGGUUCAGCUCCAGAGGCCGCAUUUGCCAAAGGCGUCGCUCGUUUGUGCACCCGAGCGGAAAUAUUUUGUGGACAGCCGUUCGGAGCGGUCAGGUGAAUUCGAACUUCGUGAAGACUAACCCGAUGGCCGAGGGCCGUGCAUCGACCCAAUAAGCAAAACUCACAACUUGCCUCCGUGUUAAAUAGUUCUUCGUGAUAAGAUAUAUUUUUGGUAAAAAAAGUGUAAAUGUAUACCCAAAAAGACUAUUACGGACUGUCGAAUAUUUUUUUGUUGACAGAUUAUCGUGGAUAUCGUAUAUUUAUAUGUAUUGCCACAUGGUGACGGAUCGAAAUAAACAUUAUAUAUUAUGAACAAG